This 942-nucleotide ribosomal RNA is filed under the name Triticum aestivum (bread wheat). RNAcentral's name for it is "partial small subunit ribosomal RNA". The record is from RNAcentral. Lineage: Eukaryota; Viridiplantae; Streptophyta; Magnoliopsida; Poales; Poaceae.
AUGCCAUCCACAAUUGACUCUCAUGUCACAAUGGCUCCAGCGCCUGGUGGCCCAAAGUCUGCUACUAUUACCGUUGUGCGAUCUGGCCUGCCACCUAGGCGGCGUAGCCCCCGCAAGAUUCCUACACAGGUAUCCAAUGCACCACAGUUAGUUAAGAGCAGCAAAGGUGACUCUGUUUACGUGCCUGCUUCCACACUAUUCCCACCGUCUGCCGAAAUCAAUGUACCCGAGAAGACGGAAGUCAGCAGUACAACAAAUGUAGCUGGUAAGCUGUGUGCUACUGAAGGAGGUGGAUGUUCAGAGCAGGCUACGUCUUUUACCGCCAUGGAGAACACCAGCGUAAAUCUGUGCACUUCCAAGCUCCUUGUCAACAUUGGUGUCCCCUACAACCCAAACAGGAAUAUAGGCAAGAAAGCUGUGAUUGAGAUCGCUGACAACACACCCCGACCUACUAACAAGCCUGAUGAUCCUGCAGCACACGAGGCAGACAUGUUUGUUGAUCUGUCACCUCUAGAUUCUGCUAAUCAAUUUGUCCGCAAUCCGGCUGUUAGACAGGAGAGGCACCCCAUGGCUCUCACCCCACCAAGCUUUAGUCUUGGCAUCAACAGCACUCAGGAUGUACCAGUGCACGAUCCUAUGCCUGUUUCCUUUUCUUUCUCGGCAGGCACGAUCCCAAUGAUGGAGCAGCCACUGGCUGAUGGCAGGAAGGCUGUCAAGUUUGCAGAUCCCAUAGUGCAAGCCACCCCUGAGGAGAUUUCGUCAUCCCUUGAAGAAGCUUACCAUAGGGUUAAGCAGGAAGCAUUAAACAGAAGGUCCUUAAGGAAUCAGGGCCAAUCAAGUUCUGACGUGCCUGCUGAGGUAGUAUCCGAGGAUACCAUCAGAAGUGAAACCCCUGGAUCUGUGAGGCAGGUGAGGGUAGUUCAUAGCACCACCAGUGGAUGA